UUGAGCGAAAUUCCUUGUCGGGUAAGUUCCGACGCGCACGAAUGGCGUAAUGACUGGACAACUGUCUCGGGAAACAGCUCGGUGAAAAUACAAUGGGGGUGAAGAUGCCCUCUACCUGCAGCUAGACGAAAAGACCCCAGGAGCUUUACUGUAGCUUGAUAUUGCGUGUACGUGCUCAUUGCGUAGCAUAGAUGGGAGAGGUUGAGACAUAAAUUUCGGUUUGUGUGGACUCGUCAGUGAAAUACCAUUCUUUGUGUAUGUACAUGCUAACCUGACCGGCAAAAACGGGCGGAGACAGUAUCUGGCAGGCAGUUUAAGUGGGGCGCUUUCCUCCUAAAAAGUAACGGAGGAGUUUAUUAAGGUUGGCUAGGCGCGAAUGGACACCGUGCCGAUAGUGCAAUGGCAAAAGCCAGCUUAACUGCAAGACGUGAAUGUCACGCAGACGCGAAAGCGGAACAUAGUGAACCGACAGUUUGCAUUAGACGCAGCUGGAGAUUAUCUGAUAAAAGUUACCCUGGGGAUAACAGGCUAGUUCUGCCCAAGAGUUCAUAUCGACGGCAGAGUUCGGCACCUUAACAUAUCGGGGUGCCAUACAAGUAAUUGUAUUAGCGAUUGGUAUUAUUCGGGCGCAAAUGAAUCAUUGGCGCUCGGUGAAUAACAAUAAAAAAUUAGUGGCUUAUAACGGUGAACUCCUUAAUAAUGAACACAUUAAGGACAAUGCCGUGGGAAGUUUCUUCACAAGAACGUGAUCAUACAUUCUUUCGAGAAUGUAACGGCACCGACUAUUUAUUUAGUGGUGAUUGUGUUGAUAACCCUGUAGAGACUUGGAACGUGAAGUUCCGGAGUUGUGAUCAUGAGAAGAUCGCAGCUAAUACGCCAACGCCUUUCUUGAUCGAAAGGAUGAAGACAUAGUCCGAACCUUCUGGUAACAGAAGACAAAUACGACAUUGCGAUGUCGGCUC
This 962-nucleotide ribosomal RNA is filed under the name Candidatus Lloydbacteria bacterium RIFCSPHIGHO2_01_FULL_49_22. Its description in RNAcentral is "bacterial LSU rRNA". The stretch from base 1 to 655 matches the Rfam family "Bacterial large subunit ribosomal RNA", at positions 1955 to 2925 of the family's 2925-position model. Lineage: Bacteria; Candidatus Lloydiibacteriota. The record is from RNAcentral.